AGGAUCAUUACCGAAUUGUCAACAAGAGUUGUUGCUGGUCCCUGUAUGGGGGCACGUGCACGCUCUGUUUACACAUCCACUCACACCUGUGCACCCUCUGUAGUUCUGUGGCCUGGGGGGCUCUGUCCUCCUGCUGUGGUUCUACGUCUUUACACACACACUGUAAUGAAGUCUUAUGGAAUGUAUGUCGCGUUUAACGCAAUGAAAUACAACUUUCAGCAACGGAUCUCUUGGCUCUCGCAUCGAUGAAGAACGCAGCGAAAUGCGAUAAGUAAUGUGAAUUGCAGAAUUCAGUGAAUCAUCGAAUCUUUGAACGCACCUUGCGCCCUUUGGUAUUCUGAAGGGCAUGCCUGUUUGAGUAUCAUGAACACCUCAACUCUCAUGGCUUGCCAUGAUGAGCUUGGACUUUGGGGGUUUUGCUGGCCUGCAGGCCAGCUCCUCUCAAAUGAAUUAGCUUGCCAGUGUCUGGAGGCAUCACAGGUGUGAUAAUUAUCUACGCUUGCGGUUUUCCACCAGGUAACCUUCAGCAAUGGAGGUUCACUGGAGCUCAUAAAUGUCUCUCCUCGGUGAGGACAGAUUUUGACCGUUUGAUCUCAAAUCAGGUAGGACUACCCGCUGAACUUAAGCAUAUCAAUAAGCGGAGGAAAAGAAACUAACAAGGAUUCCCCUAGUAACUGCGAGUGAAGCGGGAAGAGCUCAA
RNAcentral lists this ribosomal RNA (700 nucleotides) under uncultured Thelephoraceae. RNAcentral's name for it is "eukaryotic LSU rRNA". The stretch from base 211 to 364 matches the Rfam family "5.8S ribosomal RNA". The record is from RNAcentral. Lineage: Eukaryota; Fungi; Basidiomycota; Agaricomycetes; Thelephorales; Thelephoraceae.